RNAcentral lists this ribosomal RNA (253 nucleotides) under uncultured bacterium. RNAcentral's name for it is "partial 16S ribosomal RNA". It matches the Rfam family "Bacterial small subunit ribosomal RNA", at positions 524 to 776 of the family's 1533-position model. The record is from RNAcentral.
GACGAGGGGUGCGAGCGUUAUUCGGAAUUAUUGGGCGUAAAGGGUGUGUAGACGGUGUGCCAAGUCUGUUGUUAAAUCUCCCGGCUUAACCGGGAAUCAGCAGUGGAUACUGGUAUGCUAGAGGGUGGAAGAGAGAAGUGGAAUUCUCGGAGUAGCGGUAAAAUGCGUAGAUCUCGAGAGGAACACCAAUGGCGAAGGCAGCUUCUUGGUCCAUUUCUGACGUUGAAACACGAAAGCGUGGGGAGCAAACAGG